This 69-nucleotide transfer RNA is filed under the name Acheilognathus chankaensis (Khanka spiny bitterling). RNAcentral's name for it is "tRNA-His". It matches the Rfam family "tRNA". Rfam says of the family: Transfer RNA (tRNA) molecules are approximately 80 nucleotides in length. Their secondary structure includes four short double-helical elements and three loops (D, anti-codon, and T loops). RNAcentral also lists the same sequence under 1 other name. The record is from RNAcentral. Lineage: Eukaryota; Metazoa; Chordata; Actinopteri; Cypriniformes; Acheilognathidae.
GUAAGUAUAAUUUAAACAAAAUACUAGAUUGUGAUUCUAGAAAUAGGGGUUAAAGCCCCCUUACUCACC